RNAcentral lists this ribosomal RNA (907 nucleotides) under uncultured bacterium. RNAcentral describes it as "bacterial SSU rRNA". It matches the Rfam family "Bacterial small subunit ribosomal RNA", at positions 79 to 987 of the family's 1533-position model. The record is from RNAcentral.
UGCACCCUGAUGACGAGUGGCGCACGGGUGCGUAACGCGCAUACAAUCUGCCUCUUACAGGGGGAUAGCCUUUGGAAACGAAGAAUAAUACCCCAUGGCAUAUGGAUGUUGCAUGACUUCCAUAUUAAAGAUUUAUCGGUAAGAGAUGAGUAUGCGUCCUAUUAGCUAGUAGGUGUGGUAACGGCACACCUAGGCUACGAUAGGUAGGGGCCCUGAGAGGGGGAUCCCCCACACUGGUACUGAGACACGGACCAGACUCCUACGGGAGGCAGCAGUGAGGAAUAUUGGACAAUGGUCGGAAGACUGAUCCAGCCAUGCCGCGUGCAGGAAGACUGCCCUAUGGGUUGUAAACUGCUUUUGUACGGGAAGAAACCCCCCUACGCGUAGGGGGCUGACGGUACCGUAAGAAUAAGCAUCGGCUAACUCCGUGCCAGCAGCCGCGGUAAUACGGAGGAUGCAAGCGUUAUCCGGAAUCAUUGGGUUUAAAGGGUCCGUAGGUGGAUCGGUCAGUCAGAGGUGAAAUCCUGCAGCUCAACUGUAGAACUGCCUUUGAUACUGCCGGUCUUGAAUUACUGUGAAGUGGUUAGAAUAUGUAGUGUAGCGGUGAAAUGCAUAGAUAUUACAUAGAAUACCGAUUGCGAAGGCAGAUCACUAACGGUAUAUUGACACUGAUGGACGAAAGCGUGGGGAGCGAACGGGAUUAGAUACCCCGGUAGUCCACGCCGUAAACGAUGGUCACUAGCUGUUCGGACUUCGGUCUGAGUGGCUAAGCGAAAGUGAUAAGUGACCCACCUGGGGAGUACGUUCGCAAGAAUGAAACUCAAAGGAAUUGACGGGGGCCCGCACAAGCGGUGGAGCAUGUGGUUUAAUUCGAUGAUACGCGAGGAACCUUACCAGGGCUUAAAUG